Non-coding RNA from Punica granatum (pomegranate), 1167 nucleotides. The record is from RefSeq and is a predicted model, not a curated record. NCBI's taxonomy places the organism in Eukaryota, Viridiplantae, Streptophyta, Magnoliopsida, Myrtales, Lythraceae.
UUCUCGAGGAAAGUAGGCAAUUGAUGCGCUUGCCACCUCGUCAGUCAACUGCUGAAGCUGAUCUUAUGGUCCCCUUUUAGCUGGCAGCAAUAAAGACCAUAAGUGAGGAAGACAAAUAUUUUUCCAGAGUAUCUCUGCAGUUAUUUCUACUUGUUGACAGUUUUAAUAAUUGUUAUUAAGGAUGAUCAUAUUAUAGCAAUCGACUUUAAACUUAAUUCUCUUUCAUUUAAGUGCUCAAUCUUCGAUCACUCUUUCAUUAGAAGUUUCACCGACAGAUCUAUCCGUGGUAGCUGACUUUAAUCUUCAGUAAAGUCAUUAAUCUUUGACCAAUUUAUUCUUGUGAGUUAUAUUUUCUCAUUGUCUCUCAUCAUGUUGUGCAAUUGAGCUCCAUUAACUUGCAAGAAACGGGCACCUUCACCUGGAGAUUCUCUAAUAUAUUUUAUUCUCACACAGGGUGUUGUGUUAAAAGUUUGAAAACAGCUGAUUGUGAGGUUGGGAAUUUCUUUUCUUUUUGUUUUCCUUAAUUAAGUAUAUAUAGUUUAACUGCCAAAAGGUUUUCUGCAGGUUGAUGCGAUAGAAUCACUAUAGAAUGUUCUGCAAGGACGCAUUCAAGACUCUCAUGACUUCGCAGAACUUGUAGGCUUCCAUCAAGAGUUAAACUUGAUUUUUUUGGUGCAAAUUGCAUAUGGAUGGAAAACUUAUCGAGUUAGGAGCACAGGGAUUCAAACGGUUUGUCAUUUAGAGCCCGGACGAGGAAGAUAUGACCCAAUGAAGUUAAGCGCGCAGUGCAGAAAAACUGAUUCGGACGGCCCCAGCCGUGGAAAAAGAGGGCUGCGGCCCUUCAGUUCAGAUGAUCCGACCAAAAUUUGUCAUUCUUGAUAUUUUGCAUGGGUCCUGAGUAUAUUUGGAGAAGAAAAUAAAGAUGGAGAUAUUUUGAUUUAUUUGGUUAAUAUUGUUGGGUCUUAGGAAAUAUAUUAUUUGAUGCUUAAGAUAGGAAACUGAAUUUCAAGUAUUAGAAAAUUAGAUUUGCAGUAUUUUGAUGCCUUUAUCCCUUAUAAAAGGCGAGGCUGGGGUAUGAGUUUCAUGUGGACGACAUCAGGAGGCAAAGAUCAACUUGAGUAAAAAGUCGAAGGGUCGGAUAUUGACGGCAGCAUCUAUUUCUUUUAA